CAGAUGUGUAUUCAGAUUCAGACGUCUUAAUCUUAAAAAAAACAAAUGAGGCCUAAGUUUACCUUCUCUGGGGAUUCUUUUAAGGUGAUUGCAUAGAGUGAGUAGUGAAUCUGAACAAACCUAUAAUGAGAUGUGUGUAUUUCAGCUAAAACUUCAGCAUUUUCAAUGAGAAACUCUUUGAAGUAUGGUGAAGAGGUAAGUUUAUUAAAUGAAAUAAACUUCUGAUGAAGAGUUGAGCUAAGUUUUCAGUUUUUCCGUGGCUGCAGAUUAAAAUAGGACUUUUGACUUGCCCCCAGGGCUUUGGUCUAGUGGUAAGACCGCAACUCGUGAUGUGUGGAUUAGGCGCAUGUAACGGGUUCGAACCCUGCUGCAGACAGAAGCCUGGUAUUUAAGUGGAGAAGGGUAGAGGGGUGGGUCCAUUAACCACCGGUUUCAACUCAUGUGCCUCUGGACCCUUAGGAAUUUCUGGGUUAUCCCAACAAACAAAAAAAAAGGACUUUGUCUUUUGAGUAUAUGGUACUGUAUUAUUCAUAUUAUAGUCAUAGUUGGGCUUGCUUCCUCAUGCUUUGGGGGAAGGAUAGCAACUGCACAGAUAUUAUUGUUAUAUUAAUAUUGAUUGACUCUAGAUUAUUUUCUUGUCUUCUCAAUAGCAGGAAGCCAAGGAUAGCAGAACUUUUGGCCCUGUUUCCUUGACGGACAUAGUUGGUAGAGCUAUAUAUUGCCUGAGGACAGCAGUGGACCAUGGUCCUGUUAACAACAGUCACUUUAGCGUCCAGAAGGAUUCACCAGUCCUUGAAGUUGAAUUGGAUGUUGAUGAGAUGGCACGAAGUCACAAAGCAUAGGUUGUGUGUGCGCUAUGAGGAAAAGAUUUCCUAGGAUUACUGAUUUGGUUGUACCCACCCUCUUUUUCUUGUUUCCUCUUUUUUAUCCGAGCGAAAUUCAUUGGAAAAAAUAAAAGUUGUGUAUUAGUGAUUUUGGUACAUUUUCCUUCGACCAGAUGCUGUCAUCCCAAAGUGUUGAUCUUUCCUCUCAAUGAGGCACCGAACGAACUAUAAACCUUUGAGGUCUUCAGUUCUAUUUAGAACGUAUUUCAAGGCUGAAACUGUAGUAUGGAUGGAAGUUUGGAUAAGAUUUUCAAUAUGAUUCACUUUCGUCCAUGUUGUGGCCAAUUGACAAAGAAGACUAUUUAUUGCAGUAGCUUGAA
Non-coding RNA from Nicotiana tabacum (common tobacco), 1204 nucleotides. The record is from RefSeq and is a predicted model, not a curated record. Lineage: Eukaryota; Viridiplantae; Streptophyta; Magnoliopsida; Solanales; Solanaceae.